Molecule: long non-coding RNA, 398 nt
Organism: Oncorhynchus tshawytscha (Chinook salmon)
Lineage: Eukaryota; Metazoa; Chordata; Actinopteri; Salmoniformes; Salmonidae
Source: Ensembl
CUUCUGGUUUCUGUCCAGUCUCACAGAGUAGAGUAGAGCAGAGGAGAGGAGAGGCAGCUGAAACAAAGCAAGACCGCUGACACUGAGAUUAAUCUUUGAGUGAUAUGGAAGAUUAGUGUGGACCAGCCACUAACAGUGAGCUGUUCAACAACCCAUCAUCCAGUACAGACUGGACCAGCCACCAACAGAGGGAGCUGUUCAACAACCCAUCAUCCCUUACAGACUGGACCAGCCACUAACAGUGAGCUCUGUUCAACAACCCAUCAUCCCUUACAGACUGGACCAGCCACCAACAGAGGGAGCUGUUCAACAACCCAUCAUCCCUUACAGACUGGACCAGCCACCAACAGAGGGAGCUGUUCAACAACCCAUCAUCCCAUACAGACUGGACCAGCCAC